UCAGUAACAAAGAUUUAUCUCUGUGUUUGAUCAAUGGCAGGGAGAAUCUUUGUCACUGAGU
RNAcentral lists this microRNA precursor (61 nucleotides) under Sphenodon punctatus (tuatara). RNAcentral's name for it is "Spt-Mir-459_pre stem-loop". Lineage: Eukaryota; Metazoa; Chordata; Lepidosauria; Sphenodontia; Sphenodontidae. The record is from RNAcentral.